CUGGAGGAAAGACAAAGGGAAAACUGGAGGCAGCCGAUACAAAUUAGCACAGAGUUGGCUACAUAAGGAGCUUAAAUUGUCAUCUUUUUAUGUUGUUGGAUGCCAGAAUCAACAGAGUAAAGGGUCCAAUUUAAAAUUUUAUCGCAUAGCUGCUGCCACUGACAGACAAAAAAAACGACGACAGCUGUGGUUAAACGCAGUAAAAGGACAGAGCAGAAACGAUCAUCAGACGAUCAACAAUCAUCAGGACAGAAAUGAUCAUCAAAAAUGCUAGCAUUUGCAGCACACACUUCAUAUCAGAGAAAUGCAUCCAACCUAAUUGGGAGGAACUUCAUCAUGCAGCAAGAACAUACUCAAAACACACUGCCAACACAACAAAGGACUUCAUCAGGGGGUAAAAGUGGAAGAUUUUAGACUGACCAAGUCAGUCACCAGACCUCAAACCAGUUGAGCAGCAUUUCACCUCCUGAAGAUGAGAUUGAAGAGAGAAACCCCUCUAAAACAAACAAAAUCUGCAGUGCAAGCCUGGAAAAGCAACACAAUGUGUGUGUGUGUGUGUGUGUGUGUGUGUGUGUGUGUGUGUGUGUGUGUGUGUGUGUGUGUGUGUGUGUGUGAGAGAGAGAGAGAGAGUGUAGCCAAUCUACCCACCAGCAUGUUUUGGGAAGUAGGAGGAAACUGGAGCACACAGUGGAAACCCACAUAGACAUGGGGAGAAAAUGAGAAGCUCCACACAUUGUAACCAGAGAUCAGGAUGAAACCUGGGAUGCUGGAGCUGUGAGGUGACCGUGAGGUGACAACGCUGCCUGCUCACCACCAUGUUGCUCCUUUUAAAAAAUUUAAUAUACAAACUGGGAGCUAUAUACCAAUUAUAAUGUGCAAUUCCACAUUCACUUCCUAACAGAGUCUGAUGCUUGUGUUGUGUACUGAAGAACAAAGUGAUUCUGGCUUUAAGUUCCCACACAGGAAGUGACUGUAGCAAGGACGGAGUCAUUCUGUGUGCAUGUUGAGAAAAACAUCUGCCUACCCAAGUCAGUCUGAAGUCAUCAACAGGAUGGGGCUUGGCAAGUUUCCAAGCUGGUAAAAGCAGAGCCACAGAAUGAUGGGUGUUCCUGGGAUAGGCUCUGGAUCCUGCAUGACCCUGACCAGUUACUGAAGGUGACUGAAAGAGUGAUAUAUUCGAGUAAAGGAAUACUUGCAGAAACAUUGGUACUUGUGAGGUG
Molecule: long non-coding RNA, 1220 nt
Organism: Ictalurus punctatus (channel catfish)
Lineage: Eukaryota; Metazoa; Chordata; Actinopteri; Siluriformes; Ictaluridae
Source: Ensembl